GGGGUCGCGUCCUAUCAGCUUGUUGGCGGGGUGAUGGCCUGCCAAGGCUUCGACGGGUAGCCGGCCUGAGAGGGCGACCGGCCACAUUGGGACUGAGAUACGGCCCAGACUCCUACGGGAGGCAGCAGUGGGGAAUAUUGCACAAUGGGCGCAAGCCUGAUGCAGCGACGCCGCGUGCGGGAUGACGGCCUUCGGGUUGUAAACCGCUUUUGAUUGGGAGCAAGCGAGAGUGAGUGUACCUUUCGAAUAAGCACCGGCUAACUACGUGCCAGCAGCCGCGGUAAUACGUAGGGUGCAAGCGUUAUCCGGAUUUAUUGGGCGUAAAGAGCUCGUAGGCGGUUCGUCGCGUCUGGUGUGAAAGUCCAUCGCUUAACGGUGGAUCGGCGCCGGGUACGGGCGGACUGGAGUGCGGUAGGGGAGACUGGAAUUCC
This 431-nucleotide ribosomal RNA is filed under the name uncultured Bifidobacterium sp. RNAcentral describes it as "bacterial SSU rRNA". It matches the Rfam family "Bacterial small subunit ribosomal RNA", at positions 227 to 670 of the family's 1533-position model. The record is from RNAcentral. Lineage: Bacteria; Bacillati; Actinomycetota; Actinomycetes; Bifidobacteriales; Bifidobacteriaceae.